RNAcentral lists this ribosomal RNA (429 nucleotides) under Verrucomicrobiota bacterium. RNAcentral describes it as "Verrucomicrobia bacterium partial 16S ribosomal RNA". It matches the Rfam family "Bacterial small subunit ribosomal RNA", at positions 355 to 776 of the family's 1533-position model. The record is from RNAcentral. Lineage: Bacteria; Pseudomonadati; Verrucomicrobiota.
UAGGGAAUCUUCCGCAAUGGACGAAAGUCUGACGGAGCAACGCCGCGUGAGUGAAGAAGGAUUUCGGUUCGUAAAACUCUGUUGUUAGGGAAGAAAAAAUGUAUAGUAACUAUAUACAAAAGAGACGGUACCUAACCAGAAAGCCACGGCUAACUACGUGCCAGCAGCCGCGGUAAUACGUAGGUGGCAAGCGUUGUCCGGAAUUAUUGGGCGUAAAGCGCGCGCAGGUGGUUUAGAAAGUCUGAUGUGAAAGCCCACGGCUCAACCGUGGGGGGUCAUUGGAAACUAAUAAACUUGAGUGCAGGAGAGAAAAGUGGAAUUCCUCGUGUAGCGGUGGAAUGCGUAGAGAUUAGGAGGAACACCGGUGGCGAAAGCGGCUUUUUGGCCUGCAACUGACACUGAGGCGCGAAAGCGUGGGGAGCAAACAGG